GAUGAACGCUGGCGGCGUGCCUAAUACAUGCAAGUCGAGCGAACAGACGAGGAGCUUGCUCCUCUGACGUUAGCGGCGGACGGGUGAGUAACACGUGGAUAACCUACCUAUAAGACUGGGAUAACUUCGGGAAACCGGAGCUAAUACCGGAUAAUAUAUUGAACCGCAUGGUUCAAUAGUGAAAGACGGUUUUGCUGUCACUUAUAGAUGGAUCCGCGCCGGAUUAGCUAGUUGGUAAGGUAACGGCUUACCAAGGCAACGAUGCGUAGCCGACCUGAGAGGGUGAUCGGCCACACUGGAACUGAGACACGGUCCAGACUCCUACGGGAGGCAGCAGUAGGGAAUCUUCCGCAAUGGGCGAAAGCUUGACGGAGCAACGCCGCGUGAGUGAUGAAGGUCUUCGGAUCGUAAAACUCUGUUAUUAGGGAAGAACAAAUGUGUAAGUAACUAUGCACGUCUUGACGGUACCUAAUCAGAAAGCCACGGCUAACUACGUG
This 497-nucleotide ribosomal RNA is filed under the name uncultured bacterium. RNAcentral's name for it is "partial 16S ribosomal RNA". It matches the Rfam family "Bacterial small subunit ribosomal RNA", at positions 28 to 507 of the family's 1533-position model. The record is from RNAcentral.